GUCCAGACUCCUACGGGAGGCAGCAGUGGGGAAUAUUGCACAAUGGGGGAAACCCUGAUGCAGCGACGCCGCGUGAGCGAUGAAGUAUUUCGGUAUGUAAAGCUCUAUCAGCAGGGAAGAAGAUGACGGUACCUGACUAAGAAGCCCCGGCUAACUACGUGCCAGCAGCCGCGGUAAUACGUAGGGGGCAAGCGUUAUCCGGAUUUACUGGGUGUAAAGGGAGCGUAGACGGCGAUGCAAGCCAGAUGUGAAAGCCCGGGGCUCAACCCCGGGACUGCAUUUGGAACUGUGUGGCUGGAGUGUCGGAGAGGCAGGCGGAAUUCCUAGUGUAGCGGUGAAAUGCGUAGAUAUUAGGAGGAACACCAGUGGCGAAGGCGGCCUGCUGGACGAUGACUGACGUUGAGGCUCGAAAGCGUGGGGAGCAAACAGGAUUAGAUACCCGGGUA
Molecule: ribosomal RNA, 446 nt
Filed under: uncultured bacterium
Lineage: Bacteria
Description: bacterial SSU rRNA
Rfam family: Bacterial small subunit ribosomal RNA
Source: RNAcentral